UUUUUUUGCAUAGAUGUUUGUAAAUUAUUGUUUUUAAAAAGGGUAACUUUAUUGAAAUUAUGUCAUUGCCAUUGCCAUAACUAAGAAGUUGCAAAUACAUUCAUAAAGAAAAUGUUUACAAUUUGGGGCAUAUUUUAGAUAUUGUCAUGUUUUUUUAGACUGAGUUGAAAGCCUAUGGUAAAUUUUACAUAGUCCUUUAGGGGUUUAGUGUUUAGCAUUUUCUUUUAGAAAAUUUGAGGAGUUGGACCAUCAUUGUUAAUAUUUUAGAUCUAUUUUGGUUAGAUAGGUUGUCACUUAAACAAGCUAUGUAUGUAUAUUUUUAUCCCAACUUCACCUACAUUUUACCAAACUUUAUAUUGAUGUUGUUAAUGUUCAGACCUUGCCGUCCCAUCUUUGACAUCCUUGGUACCAUUUGUUAUCCCCAAAAGUUAGGUAAAUUGUUAUAUUGAAGUUCCUUUCUUAUUUCCCAUGGGAUCAAGGUCAGUAAUUUCUAAAAUGGGGAUAUUUAUAUUGCAGUAUAUAAAAUUGAGAAUAGAAAUGGUCAGCAUAUGACCAUCUGACACCUUGACCCCAUUUUCUUUAUUUUGUUAUCUGUUUAAUUAGUUUAGGAUUAUAUCUUUUCACAAGUUACUCUACCUGACAGCUCAAGAAUAGCUAGUUUGUGAAUUUGUUGUAACAGCCAUCUCACAUCAAACACCUGAACCAUAUUUUCAUGCUCUAGUCAUUUAUAUGUUCAGGUUAUUGGUUUAGUCAGUAUCUAAGAAAUUAUACAUACAUGUAAAAGGUUUACAAAAAUGCCAUACAUUUUAAGAGAUACAUUUGCAUUUUACCAAAGUUCAGCAGGCUAGAUAUAAGUUGUAAACUCUUGUAUCCUCAAGUCUAAAUGAUGCUGAUUGUUAACACUUAUUAUUUAUGUCAUGUAUUUUUAUGAGCUUUUUGUCAUAGAUCUUUUACUGACUCACUUAAGUUGUUUUGUGUGCAUUCUAAACUAUAACUAACACAAGGGCUCAAUUGUAAUGAAAGAGGUUAAUUGCAUUUUCUAAUCUAAUAAAGAGAUUUUGUAGAGCAAUAAAAAGUUUCAGAAUUCUUCAUGACUAAUGAUUAUUUUUGAAAAGAAAAAAAACAUUUAUAGAGAUUUAAAUUUAUUAAAUGGUAUUACUUGUAUGAUAUUUAUUGAAAUUUAGUUUUGCAGUAGGAAGUAAUUUAAAUUAUUUAAAGAAGAGGGUGAUUUG
This 1232-nucleotide long non-coding RNA is filed under the name Mytilus galloprovincialis (Mediterranean mussel). The record is from RNAcentral. Lineage: Eukaryota; Metazoa; Mollusca; Bivalvia; Mytilida; Mytilidae.